GGCCGGGCGGGGCAUCACGGCCCUGGUCGUGCCAGGCCUGCGGUGGCAACCUCGGCUUUCCCUGCUCAGGAGCCUCGUGUCUUUCUCCGCAGCGCUUUGCCAGCCGGCCGGCUUUCCCCUUCCACCACACACCUCCACCUGGUCACAGCAGAUAACCCAGCAGCCAACUGGCUUCAUGCGCGCUCCACUCGGAAAAAGCGGUGCCCCUAUACAAAACACCAGACCCUGGAACUGGAGAAAGAGUUUCUGUUCAACAUGUACCUCACCAGGGACCGCAGGUACGAGGUGGCUCGACUGCUCAACCUCACCGAGAGGCAGGUCAAGAUCUGGUUCCAGAACCGCAGGAUGAAAAUGAAGAAAAUCAACAAAGACCGAGCAAAAGACGAGUGAUGCCAUUUGGGCUUAUUUAGAAAAAAGGGUAAGCUAGAGAGAAAAAGAAAGAACUGUCCGUCCCCCUUCCGCCUUCUCCCUUCUCUCACCCCCACCCUAGCCUCCACCAUCCCCGCACAAAGCGGCUCUAAACCUCAGGCCACAUCUUUUCCAAGGCAAACCCUGUUCAGGCUGGCUCGUAGGCCUGCCGCUUUGAUGGAGGAGGUAUUGUAAGCUUUCCAUUUUCUAUAAGAAAAAGGAAAAGUUGAGGGGGGGGCAUUAGUGCUGAUAGCUGUGUGUGUUAGCUUGUAUAUAUAUUUUUAAAAAUCUACCUGUUCCUGACUUAAAACAAAAGGAAAGAAACUACCUUUUUAUAAUGCACAACUGUUGAUGGUAGGCUGUAUAGUUUUUAGUCUGUGUAGUUAAUUUAAUUUGCAGUUUGUGCGGCAGAUUGCUCUGCCAAGAUACUUGAACACUGUGUUUUAUUGUGGUAAUUAUGUUUUGUGAUUCAAACUUCUGUGUACUGGGUGAUGCACCCAUUGUGAUUGUGGAAGAUAGAAUUCAAUUUGAACUCAGGUUGUUUAUGAGGGGAAAAAAACAGUUGCAUAGAGUAUAGCUCUGUAGUGGAAUAUGUCUUCUGUAUAACUAGGCUGUUAACCUAUGAUUGUAAAGUAGCUGUAAGAAUUUCCCAGUGAAAUAAAAAAAAAUUUUAAGUGUUCUCGGGGAUGCAUAGAUUCAUCAUUUUCUCCACCUUAAAAAUGCGGGCAUUUAAGUCUGUCCAUUAUCUAUAUAGUCCUGUCUUGUCUAUUGUAUAUAUAAUCUAUAUGAUUAAAGAAAAUAUGCAUAAUCAGACAAGCUUGAAUAUUGUUUUUGCACCAGACGAACAGUGAGGAAAUUCGGAGCUAUACAUAUGUGCAGAAGGUUACUACCUAGGGUUUAUGCUUAAUUUUAAUUGGAGGAAAUGAAUGCUGAUUGUAACGGAGUUAAUUUUAUUGAUAAUAAAUUAUACACUAUGAAACCGCCA
This 1393-nucleotide long non-coding RNA is filed under the name Homo sapiens (human). RNAcentral's name for it is "non-protein coding lnc-HOXA10-1:5". The record is from RNAcentral. Lineage: Eukaryota; Metazoa; Chordata; Mammalia; Primates; Hominidae.